This 429-nucleotide ribosomal RNA is filed under the name Bacteroidota bacterium. RNAcentral's name for it is "Bacteroidetes bacterium partial 16S ribosomal RNA". It matches the Rfam family "Bacterial small subunit ribosomal RNA", at positions 355 to 776 of the family's 1533-position model. Lineage: Bacteria; Pseudomonadati; Bacteroidota. The record is from RNAcentral.
UAGGGAAUCUUCCGCAAUGGACGCAAGUCUGACGGAGCAACGCCGCGUGAGUGAAGAAGGAUCUCGGUUCGUAAAACUCUGUUGUUAGAGAAGAACAGCGCAUAGAGUAACUGUUAUGCGUGUGACGGUAUCUAACCAGCAAGCCACGGCUAACUACGUGCCAGCAGCCGCGGUAAUACGUAGGUGGCAAGCGUUGUCCGGAUUUAUUGGGCGUAAAGCGAGCGCAGGCGGUCAAUUAAGUCUGAUGUGAAAGCCCCCGGCUCAAGCGGGGAGGGUCAGUGGAAACUGGUUGACUUGAGUGCAGAAGAGGAGAGUGGAAUUCCAGGUGUAACGGUGAAAUGCGUAGAUAUAUGGAGGAACACCAGUGGCGAAGGCGACUCUCUGGGCUGUAACUGACGCUGAGGCUCGAAAGCGUGGGUAGCAAACAGG